CGCACAUUGCGCCCUUUGGCAUUCCGAAGGGCAUGCCCGUUCGAGCGUCAUUAAAUCCAAUCAAGCCUGGCUUGGUAUUAAGCAUUCGGGCUCCCGAUGCUUCAAUUUCACCGGCUGGCCGUCGCCCGUCUUAGCGUUGUGACACAAUCUCGCUUCUGACGGUCGGGGACCACGCCGUUAAACCGCACAGAUUUCUCAUCGAAAUUUGAUUAAGGUUGACCUCGGAUCGGGUAGGAAUACCCGCUGAACUUAA
Molecule: unclassified non-coding RNA, 253 nt
Filed under: fungal sp.
Lineage: Eukaryota; Fungi
Description: partial contains 5.8S ribosomal RNA, internal transcribed spacer 2, and large subunit ribosomal RNA
Source: RNAcentral